This 492-nucleotide ribosomal RNA is filed under the name uncultured bacterium. Its description in RNAcentral is "partial 16S ribosomal RNA". It matches the Rfam family "Bacterial small subunit ribosomal RNA", at positions 29 to 507 of the family's 1533-position model. The record is from RNAcentral.
AGUGAACGCUGGCGGUAUGCCUAACACAUGCAAGUCGAACGGCAGCACAGUAAGAGCUUGCUCCUACGGGUGGCGACUGGCGGACGGGUGAGGAAUACAUCGGAAUCUUCUUUUUCGUGGGGGAUAACGUAGGGAAACUUACGCUAAUACCUCAUACGACCUACGGGUGAAAGCAGGGGAUCUUCGGACUUUGCGCGAUUGAAUGAGCCGAUGUCGGAUUAGCUAGUUGGCGGGGUAAAGGCCCACCAAGGCGACGAUCCGUAGCUGAUCUGAGAGGAUGAUCAGCCACACUGGAACUGAGACACGGUCCAGACUCCUACGGGAGGCAGCAGUAGGGAAUAUUGGGCAAUGGGCGCAAGCCUGAUCCAGCCAUGCCGCGUGGGUGAAGAAGGCCUUCGGGUUGUAAAGCCCUUUUGUUGGGAAAGAAAAGCAGCAGAUUAAUACCCCGCUGUUCUGACGGUACCCAAAGAAUAAGCACCGGCUAACUACGUG